Molecule: ribosomal RNA, 263 nt
Filed under: uncultured bacterium
Lineage: Bacteria
Description: partial 16S ribosomal RNA
Rfam family: Bacterial small subunit ribosomal RNA
Source: RNAcentral
GUCCACGCCGUAAACGAUGGGUACUAGGUGUCUGGGGAGCGACCCCUGGGUGCCGGCGCUAACGCAUGAAGUACCCCGCCUGGGGAGUACGGCCGCAAGGCUGAAACUCAAAGGAAUUGACGGGGGCCCGCACAAGCGGUGGAGCAUGUGGUUUAAUUCGACGCAACGCGAAUAACCUUACCUGGGCUUGACAUGCUGGAGAAAGCUCCCAGAAACGGGAGCCCCUCUUCGGAGUUCCAGCACAGAUGCUGCAUGGCUGUCGU